CAGGGAUGGGCCCGCGGCCUAUCAGCUAGUUGGUGGGGUAAUGGCCUACCAAGGCGACGACGGGUAGCCGGCCUGAGAGGGCGACCGGCCACACUGGGACUGAGACACCGGCCCAGACUCCUACGGGAGGCAGCAGGUGGGGAAUAUUGCGCAAUGGGCGAAAGCCUGACGCAGCGACGCCGCGUGAGGGAUGAAGGCCUUCGGGUUGUAAACCUCUUUCAGCAGGGACGAAGCGAAAGUGACGGUACCUGCAGAAGAAGCACCGGCUAACUACGUG
This 277-nucleotide ribosomal RNA is filed under the name uncultured bacterium. Its description in RNAcentral is "partial 16S ribosomal RNA". It matches the Rfam family "Bacterial small subunit ribosomal RNA", at positions 220 to 507 of the family's 1533-position model. The record is from RNAcentral.